Molecule: long non-coding RNA, 6262 nt
Organism: Lagenorhynchus albirostris (white-beaked dolphin)
Lineage: Eukaryota; Metazoa; Chordata; Mammalia; Artiodactyla; Delphinidae
Exons: 6
Source: RefSeq, a predicted model, not a curated record
GCAGCGGUGGUCAGGGGCAGGCGACCUUCACAUCUGGCUGGCCGAGGUGGGGCAGGGCUGGGAGGCAUCUCACCAGCCUCUCCCGAAGUUUCAGGACCAGAUCCACGACCUCCACCUCGGACUUGUCCUGCAUCCAGAUCUCGAGGUUCUGCGGGGACAAGAUGGGACCUUCCAUCGCCGAGGCUCUCGCCCAGCUCUGGGCCUGUGUCCGCCCCCCCUGCACUCUCCUCCGGCCCCUGUGUGGGGCUCGCACCCCUCUGUGCUCUCCCGCAGCCAUCGCCCCCCUCACCGCCUCACAGAUGGCCUCGAGGUGCAGGGCCUCCAGCUUCUGGGCCAUCUCUUUGUGCCGCUGUCGGUACCAGCCAUCAAAAUGGGGGGACUUGAAAAACCGCCUGUGGGGGGCAAGGGGCAGCAGGUGUGGGCUGACGCUGUGUGUUGAGGGAUGGGCACGGCCACCAGCAGCAGGGGCCCCAGGACCCUACCUACUGUCCACCCACCUGUAGAGGCCCAGCCAGUCGCCCUUGAGGAGGCAGCCCGGCGCCCUCCUCCCCGCCGGCCAGGCCCCACCAGAGGGAUGAUGAAGCUCUGCGUGAGCUCCAGGAGGUGCUGCCUCAGCACUGCAGUCUGCACGUCCGACGGCCGCUUCCUCUGCAGGCCCUGGGGGGCGGGGCGAGGGCUGAGCCACAGCAGGCCGGCUGCGCCCCCUUCACACACCGAGCCCAGCUUCCCCGCCCCGGAGCACCCCCCAGCGGUACCUUAAGCAGUCGUCUGAGCAGGGCCUUGUCUCGGUGGAGGUGCAGACCCGGAGAGGCCCCGCGUUCCCAGCACCCUUGGGUGGAGGCCGGGGACCUCACCUGGCAUCUUGGGCUCCCCGAUGCGGAGAACGUGGGGCCAGUGCUGGAGCGUUUUGAUAAAGAAAGGGUUUGUGACUCCCAGGACCACGCUUGGUCUAGAGAGAGAGAGAGAGAGAGAGAGAGGGAGGGAGGAGAGGCAGACGCAGGCGGAGGGCGCAGGGCGCAGGGCGGGCAGGGCGGCACUUACGGGGCCUGCGUGCGCGUCGUGAACUCCUUGAACUCGCUAUCGUGGACGGUGAAGUAGGGGCGGUAGUCGCAGCAGAACUUGAGGGGCUGCAGGCAGCUGUGGGGAGGGACCCGCAGGGACAGUCAGUUCGCAGGGCUGGUCCGGGGCCCCCGGCCCCUCGCGUUGCCGCCCGACCCACCUGGUCAAGGCCAGCACCAUCUCCGAGGACACUGCGGGCGAGGGCGCCAGGACCAGCAGGGGCUCCCCAAGAAGCAUGAGCUCCCACAGCAGCUGCACGUGGGCCAGCACGGGCCGGAAGCACCUGGGCCGGCGGGGGCGUUGGGGAGGCCGGUGGGAGGCUCCCCAGCCCUUGCCCACCUGCCCCGACCCAGGCCCAGGCAGGCCCUGUCUGGGUGAAGGCUGGGCCUCACUCCAGAGGAAGGCGGCCGUGAGGCCUUGUGAAGAUGCCUGGCCUCGCGCCCCCGCCAUGCCUGAAACCAACAGCCCUGGCUCCCGCUGGGCCCAGCACAGAGCCAGAGGGUCUCCAAAGCGCCCCCACCCCGAUGGGCUGAGCCCCGUGGGAUCACUCAUCACCUACCGGGGCAGCAGGUGGUGGCCUGCCAGGCUCACCUGAACAGGUCCAGCUCAUGGACACUGGUGAGGACGACCGGGGCUGGCAGCAGGUUCUGAGAGGAAGGGGGGUGGGGUCAGGCCGGGGGGAGGAUGACGCCUCACAAGCCCCGAGCAGCACAGGUCAUCCCGGGAGAGUCCCGGGGGCCGCAGUCCCUACCCACGUGCCUCCCGGCGCCCCACAGCCCUGCACGGAGAUGCAGGCCCUGUGUCUGGGGUCUGGCCACCCCCCAGUAGGUGAGGUGGGGAGGCCCAGGCAGGUGGGAGGGUUGAGGGUUGAGGCAGGUAUGGGGCCGUCAGCCUGGGAGCAGGGCGCCCACCUUGUGGCUGCACUGCUUUGGAGGACCGGAUUCAGGCUUGUCUGCGCUGGAUGGGAUGUGCACCUAUGGGUGAAGGAAGCAGCUGCCAGUGGGGCCGGGUGGCGUGUCGACACGCACUGGGGCCGUCCCACCCCAGCCAGGCAGCCCUCACCUGGAGGACGACUCCCAUGACAGGCAGGUUCAAGGUCUGCCCCGGCACAGGGGCCGGCCACUGGUCAAUCUCAUUGCAGACUGUGAACACAGGUGGCCAGCGUCAGAAGCCUGUCCUGGAGGAAGCUGCCCGCCGGAGCCACCAGGAGCUACAGCUGGGAUGAUGACGAGGCAGCUCUGGCAGCGCCUGCCGGCCACUCACCCGCUUCCAGGCAGGGCGCCAGCUUGUCGAAGUACUCGGGGGCAACCAGGCUCAGCAGCGCCUGGAACAGCCGGACGAAGGGCAGGCGGGACACCAGCACCAGAGACUGCAGGGCCCAGGGCUGGUGAGAUGUCGCCCCAGCCCCUUGGGACCCUGCAGGGACCCCUGAGGCCCAGCUCAUCCAGGGUCGCCCAGGGCAGGGUGUCCCAUCGACUUCCCAGGAAUGGCCUGACCUGGGACUCCAGGCUAUUAGAAAACCCCAGGCCUUCAGAGGGAAAUGCACGUGGGCCAGGAUCGUGGGAUGGUCUCCCCGGGGCUCAAGCAGCCUUUGCUUUUGGUGUCUGAAUUCAAGACUGAAGUCGUCCUAAUCUUGAAAGUGUGACGAGGGCCCCCCUCCUCCCUCAGCGAGGAGCAGGGAGGCCUGGGCUUGAGCCGGGGCUGGGCGAGGGAGGGGCAGCGGAGCCUGUUCUCCAGAGGCCGCCCCCGCCCCCAAGUGGCACGGUGGCCCCCGCCCAGGGCCAAGUGGCUAGGGCUGCCGAGGGGUGGGUGCUCCUGGAGGCUCAGGACCCCCACCCCCCAAGACCAUCAGCCUCUCCCGAUGGCUGCUGGCCCCCAACUCUCAGUGGGGCUACCCCAGAGCAACCAGCUGCUCACCUUCUGGAAGUAGCCCCUCUUCACAGAGCUGUCCUUCACCUGCCUGAAGUACACGUAGCCAAAGUAGUGUGCGGGCUCCCUCUGGAAGGAGGGGUAUCGGCCAGGCCACGCCCACUGCUCACCUCCCACCCGCCCCCUCGGACCCCCACGCAGGCUGCUGCAUGCUCUCCCCAGACCGGGAUCUGCCUGGGAGUCACGGCCCCGGAAGGCAGGCAACCGCUCUCCAGGGACAUCUCCGCAGACACAGUGGUGAGCGGUUCAGGGGCCCAAGAGCACCGGCCUCUGCACACCGAGCCACGCCUGGCGCACACGUGGAGCACAGGAAAAGCCCCAAGGACCCUGGCAAGUCCUCAGAAGCGCUGGCCCACCCCCAGUCGAGGCUGGGGUGCCGGGCCUGGCCUGCGGCAGUUGGAGACCCUGCUGGCUGGGGCUGGCCAGGCGCCUUGAAGGGCCGCUCACACCCGCCUGACCCUGGCCUGCAGGGGCAGGCGAGGAGCGCUGGAGAGGCAGCCCGGCUCACCUGCAGAGACACGGGGGCCCCACUGUCACAGUGCCUGUCAUCCGUGUGCCAGGGGCGCCUCUGCCCUCCACACUGACGAAUGCGGAAGCAGAACUGAGUAUCCCCGAGGCAGCCUGGGGAAGAGGUGGUCCCCUCACUCUGUGUCCGGGUUGGGCUGGAGCCUCUCCUGCCAGCAUGUGGGGCGGGGGGCCAGGGAGGGGGCGAAGCCCCUGCCGGGCUGCAAAUGCCUCAAAAAAGCCCAGCCCUCCAGUUCUGUGUCUCCCGACAGAGGUCCCCGUGUCUAGAUUCCUGCACCUAAGGGUUUAAACUCAGCACACAGAGAAGCACAGCCACAGCCCCGCAGCGCGUGCACUGUGGGCAAGCACGGCCGGGGGCUUGUGUGGCCCGGCGUAGCCUGCCCGGGGAGGAAAACCAGGCCGACCCGGACACCUGAGCCCUGGAGAAGCCGAGGCCAGGACCCAGCUCCUGGUGACCCCUCUGCUGGGGUGAAGGAGACCAGACCCCACUGCCCAGAGACACCUCUUUCCGCGGGAACCGGGGAAACCGGCUGCCGCGGCGUGGGGGCUCUGGCUGUCUCCCCGGAGCGGGAAGGGGGACCGGUGCUUACAGGCUGUGCAGGCCUGGCCGCAGGGGCUCUUGGGCAGCCUCAUCUCCCUCCUUCUUCUCCCCACAGCCCCAGAGAGACACCCAGACCGGGGCGGGGCGGGGUGGCCUACCUGAGUGGGAGUCGGGAAAGGACAGGUAGCAGAUGCUGCUUUUCUGAAACACAGGAAAGCCAGUGAGGGCCUGCUCCCCGGGUGAGGUCUGCUCCGGAGAGGGCUGGGACCCACCUCCUUGUCCGUGAGCUGGAAGUCGCUGGGGUACACCAGCUGCGGGGGACACAGAGUACUCAGUGACAUGGGCUUGGCAGGCUUGGUGCUGGGCUGCAGGUGUGUCCCCCCCACCCCAGCACUGUCAGACCCUCUGGCUCUCCCCCACCUCUGGCUCCCUGCUGACCCCUCCUCCUCUCUUCAGGGCUCCAGCGCCCUGCCCUGCCUCCCCAGGCCCCUCUCGGCCCGAGGCCACUCCUGGCCCCCAUCCUUCCCUUUUCUCGGCCAGCGCACAACUGGGUGAGCUCCUGGACUCCCUUCUCACACCCCUCGCCCUCAAGGCCACUCGCCCAGACUGGGCCUCCCUGCCCCACGUCCCGACAGUCUGUCCCCAAAGCCUCCUCUCUCGCCUAGAGCGGAUGCAGGGCCCUGCCUCCUGGCCCCCACCUCCUGAACCCUCUCAGCGCUCCGAACCCAACCCCACCCAGCCAGAGGGUCUUAGGCUCUGCGGCUCCUCUGGGCCUGCUCUCCCAGACGGCCUGGCCAGCCUCCCCAUCCCGUCUUAACUCAGAUGUUGCCUGACACUGGCACCCCUGCCUCUGAGCAUCUUCACUCCAACCCCUGCUAGUCAGGGGUCCGGGAGCUUCUGGCCUGCUCCCCGCUUGGAAUGUGACCCCUGGAGCACCCAGGCCCCUGGAGUGUAUGGUGAGCGUGACCAGCUGGACAGGCUCUACCUGGGAGACAGGCCACACUCUAGGGGAGCCAGUAGCCCUGUACGCAGGCAAAUGGCCAGAAUGGAUUUCUUUGCAGGAAAGGAAAAAGGCAGGGAACCUCCAGAGCCCUCACUCCCUGCAGGCCCCCAAGUGUCUCCUGGGGACCUGGUGCGCCUUGGGCAUCACUGCUGCCCUGGCCCGUGCUCAGGUGCAGCAGGACGGCUCUCCCAGGAAGCGGCUAUGCCGGGAGCCAGGAGCUGAGGGCCUGCAUGCGUGGCCCCCUCCUUACUCUGUCGGCCAAACUCCCACGCGGAGGAGGACUUGGGUUUUGGCUGACAUGAGGCUUCCUCUGGGGUGUGCCCCGAACCCCCAGAUGGUAAGUGCUCUGGAACCGAACCUGCAACAUCUCCAAGGUGUGCCUGUAUUUGUGGAGUGCGUGAAAACAUGUCUCCAAAGAAUAAUGGAACAGGUGGGGCAUGUGGAAAUCUCAAGACGUCAGCUAAGGAGGCGCCAAGAAGGAAGGGCCAAGAGGACGGAGGGGAGCCAGCCAGACAGUAUUUGUCUGUGGGGCGGACCCACAGGGCUACCUCGAGAUGGCUCCAAGAGAGGAGGGGCCGCAGGACCACUCGGGCCCCUGCGCGUCCUUGCUGGGAAGGGCAGAGGAAAGGCGGGUGCCUGGCAGCUGGCAGGGCCACGAUGGGCCCUCGGAGCUGAGGUCAGGGGUCUGAAUCUGGUCUGCAGUCACAGGAGUUUUGUAGCAUCUGAGCAGGCUCCACAGCCAUGCCCAGGGCUCCAAGUUCACUGUUCACAAGCUGGGAGCAGAGAUGGAGGGACGGCCCUGCCUGACUGAGGAGAGGAAUGGAGCGGACCCUCAGAGAGGGGCAGAGGGCGAGGGUCUGCCGCACGAUGAACCCUGUCCCCUGGAACCACAGGGGUCUUGUCCUUUCCACGGGAGCCAGUCUGCAGGGGCUGCAACUCCUGUAACCAAGUCGCCCCUGAGGAAGACAGAUGCAGCGAGCCUCGCCUUGCUGGAGAAGUGUGGCUUCCAGAGGCUGUGACACAGGCCGUCAAGGGCAACUGACUGAAGCUGACGUGAAGAUACAGCGGCCUUCUAUUUGGCCUUUAAAAAGGGACGUAAAAGUGUCAAAUAAUGCCAUUCUCCUCACUGAAUUUGUUUCUGAAAAUGGUUGUUUUUGUGCAAAUAUAUAUAUUUUUAAAGUAAGUAAAUAAAUAUUUAUUUAUUU